Molecule: transfer RNA, 66 nt
Filed under: Ramulus hainanensis
Lineage: Eukaryota; Metazoa; Arthropoda; Insecta; Phasmatodea; Phasmatidae
Description: Ramulus hainanense tRNA-Arg
Source: RNAcentral
AAAUAUGAAGCAUUAUAUAUGCCUUUAGUUUCGACCUAAAAAAAGAUAUAAAUAUAUCCAUAUUUA